RNAcentral lists this ribosomal RNA (500 nucleotides) under uncultured bacterium. Its description in RNAcentral is "partial 16S ribosomal RNA". It matches the Rfam family "Bacterial small subunit ribosomal RNA", at positions 30 to 523 of the family's 1533-position model. The record is from RNAcentral.
AUUGGACGCUGGCGGAAUGCUUUACACAUGCAAGUCGAACGGCAGCACGGACUUCGGUCUGGUGGCGAGUGGCGAACGGGUGAGUAAUGUAUCGGAACGUGCCCAGUCGUGGGGGAUAACGUAGUGAAAAUUACGCUAAUACCGCAUACGAUCCAUGGAUGAAAGCGGGGGAUCGCAAGACCUCGCGCGAUUGGAGCGGCCGAUAUCAGAUUAGGUAGUUGGUGGGGUAAAGGCCCACCAAGCCAACGAUCUGUAGCUGGUCUGAGGGGACGACCAGCCACACUGGAACUGGGACACGGUCCAGACUCCGACGGGAGGCAGCAGUGGGGAAUUUUGGACAAUGGGCGAAAGCCUGAUCCAGCCAUUCCGCGUGCAGGAUGAAGGCCCUCGGGUUGUAAACUGCUUUUGUACAGAACGAAAAGGUUUCUACUAAUACUAGGAGCUCAUGACGGUACUGUAAGAAUAAGCACCGGCUAACUACGUGCCAGCCGCCGCCGUAA